This 1931-nucleotide unclassified non-coding RNA is filed under the name Hevea brasiliensis (rubber tree). The record is from RNAcentral. Lineage: Eukaryota; Viridiplantae; Streptophyta; Magnoliopsida; Malpighiales; Euphorbiaceae.
GAAAAAUGUCCUUUGCAGAAGAACCGAGUGGAUAAACAUAGAAACUUUUCUCCCUUUUUCUCUUCAACCCAAAUCUCGAUCUACAAUUAGUUUUCAUUUUUCUUCGUGUUUAAUCAAUCAAAUUUAUUUUCGAUGUGUUAAUUGAUGUCUGAUUGUUAAAUUUCUGGAUCGGGAUCGAACGAACCUCGAUCAAUCUGUUCCCUUUUGUGUUCAAGGUCAUUUGGUUGGGGUAAAACAUGUCUCAUCAACAAGAGGAUGAUGCUGAUUACAUGGCAAACGAGUAUGACAUGGAAGCUAUGGAUGAUGAUAUGGAUGACGAGUUCCAUGGCCGAGAUGUUGGUGGCUCUGAUUCAGAUGCAGAUGAUUAUGACUUCACGAAUAAUAAAAUGCAAGAUACCUCUGCUGCUGAGGCAAGAAGAGGUAGAGACAUCCAAGGGAUUCCAUGGGAAAGGCUUAGCAUAACCAGGGAGAAAUACAGACAAACGAGAUUAGAGCAGUAUAAGAACUAUGAAAAUAUUCCUCAAUCUGGGGAGGCCUCAGAGAAGGACUGCUUAGCCACGAAGAAAGAAGUUUCAUACUAUGACUUCAGACGUAAUUCAAGAUCUGUUAAAUCAACAAUUUUACAUUUCCAGCUGAGGAAUUUGGUCUGGGCAACCUCCAAGCAUGACGUGUACCUUAUGUCACAUUUUUCCGUCAUUCACUGGUCAUCCUUGACCUGCAGCAAAAGUGAAGUUCUGAAUGUAUCAGGGCAUGUAGCACCAUGCGAGAAACAUCCUGGGAGCCUUUUGGAAGGAUUUACACAAACUCAAGUCAGUACUCUUACAGUGAAAGACAAGUUGCUAGUUGCUGGGGGAUUUCAAGGAGAACUAAUUUGCAAGUAUGUAGACAGGCCUGGAGUUUGCUUCUGUUCCCGGACAACAUAUGACGAUAAUGCUAUUACUAAUGCUGUUGAGAUUUAUAACACCUCCAGUGGUGCACUUCAUUUUAUUGCUUCGAAUAAUGAUUCUGGAGUUAGAGACUUUGAUAUGGAGAAGUUUCAACUGUCCAAGCAUUUCCGUUUUCCAUGGCCAGUGAAUCAUGCAUCACUGAGCCCCGAUGGCAAGCUUAUUGCAAUAGUUGGGGAUAAUCCUGAAGGUUUAUUGGUUGAUUCCAGGAACGCAAAGGUUGUUUCACCUUUGAGCGGACAUAUUGACUACUCAUUUGCGUCAGCAUGGCAUCCUGAUGGCCUAACUUUUGCAACUGGCAACCAGGAUAAAACCUGCAGAGUAUGGGAUAUACGGAACCUGUCUAAAUCAGUUGUUGCUCUGAAGGGUAACCUUGGAGCUAUUCGGUCAAUCCGCUACACAUCUGAUGGAAGAUUCAUGGCAAUGGCAGAACCUGCAGAUUUCGUUCAUGUUUUCGAUGUAAAAAAUGGCUACGAGCAGGAGCAAGAAAUUGAUUUCUUUGGUGAGAUAUCAGGUCUGUCUUUUAGUCCUGAUACAGAGUCCCUUUUUGUCGGAGUCUGGGAUCGCACAUAUGGUAGCCUUCUUGAGUUUGGACGGCGGCACAACUACUCAUACCUUGAUACAAUUAUGUAAACACUCUCUUGAAUGCUGCUUUGGGUAUGUUUACUUGGCUUGAAGUGGCGCUGGCUGAACUUUGUAAAACGAGUAGCAUAGUCAGGAGUUAGUAGUGGAUUUGGCUGUAAAUUGGUCAUGUUGUGCAAUUUAAGUUUGUCACAUAAAUUGUUGUGCACCAUUUCUAAGUAUCAGAAGAUGUAGAAUGGAGGAAUGUAUAAAAGAGGGAGAAACUCCAGUGAUGUGAGCAUGAAAAAGUAGCGUUGUUUCCAUAAGGCAUAGGCCAGAAACUUGAUCUUGUUUUGUGGUGGGGUGGGUAGGGUUCUGUUCAUCAUCACAUCAUGUAUUGGGAUCUUAAAAUCAUCCUGAAAGUUG